Molecule: ribosomal RNA, 305 nt
Filed under: uncultured bacterium
Lineage: Bacteria
Description: bacterial SSU rRNA
Rfam family: Bacterial small subunit ribosomal RNA
Source: RNAcentral
AUGUCCCUACGGGAGGCAGCAGUGGGGGAUAUUGCACAAUGGGGGGAACCCUGAUGCAGCGACGCCGCGUGGGUGAAGAAGCGCCUCGGCGCGUAAAGCCCUGUCAGCAGGGAAGAAAAUGACGGUACCUGAAGAAGAAGCCCCGGCUAACUACGUGCCAGCAGCCGCGGUAAUACGUAGGGGGCAAGCGUUAUCCGGAUUUACUGGGUGUAAAGGGAGCGUAGACGGCCAUGCAAGUCUGAUGUGAAAACCCGGGGCUCAACCCCGGGACUGCAUUGGAAACUGUGCGGCUGGAGUGUCGGAGG